GACGAACGCUGGCGGCGUGCUUAACACAUGCAAGUCGAACGGAAAGGCCCUGAUUUUGUGGGGUGCUCGAGUGGCGAACGCGUGAGUAACACGUGAGUAACCUGCCCUUGACUUUGGGAUAACUUCAGGAAAAUGGGGAUCAUAUCGGAUAGGAUCUCCUGCUGCAUGGUGGGGGUUGGAAAGUUUCGGCGGUUGGGGAUGGACUCGCGGCUUAUCAGCUUGUUGGUGGGGUAGUGGCGUACCAAGGUUGUGACGGGUAGGCGGCCUGAGAGGGUGACCGGCCACAAUGGGACGGCGAGACGGACCAGAAUCCUACGGGAGGCAGCAGGGGGGAAUAUUGCACAAUGGGCGGAAGCCUGAUGCAGAGACGCCGCGUGCGGAAUAACGGCCUACGAGGUGUAAACAACUUUCGCCGGUGACGAAGCGUGAGUGACGGUAAUGGGUAAAGAAGCACCGGCUAACUACGUG
This 468-nucleotide ribosomal RNA is filed under the name uncultured bacterium. RNAcentral's name for it is "partial 16S ribosomal RNA". It matches the Rfam family "Bacterial small subunit ribosomal RNA", at positions 28 to 507 of the family's 1533-position model. The record is from RNAcentral.